This 834-nucleotide ribosomal RNA is filed under the name Beltraniella carolinensis. RNAcentral's name for it is "eukaryotic LSU rRNA". It matches the Rfam family "Eukaryotic large subunit ribosomal RNA", at positions 74 to 938 of the family's 3401-position model. Lineage: Eukaryota; Fungi; Ascomycota; Sordariomycetes; Amphisphaeriales; Beltraniaceae. The record is from RNAcentral.
AUUCCCUUAGUAACGGCGAGUGAAGCGGGAACAGCUCCAUUUGAAAUCUGGCCUUCGGGUCCGAAUUGUAAUUUGCAGAGGAUGCUUUUGGUUAGGUACUUUCCGAGUUCCCUGGAACGGGACGCCUUAGAGGGUGAGAGCCCCGUACGGUUGGAUACCGAGCCUGUGUAAAGCUCCUUCGACGAGUCGAGUAGUUUGGGAAUGCUGCUCUAAAUGGGAGGUAAAUUUCUUCUAAAGCUAAAUACCGGCCAGAGACCGAUAGCGCACAAGUAGAGUGAUCGAAAGAUGAAAAGCACUUUGAAAAGAGGGUUAAAUAGCACGUGAAAUUGUUGAAAGGGAAGCGUUUAUGACCAGACUUUUUCCAGGCGGAUCAUCCGGUGUUCUCACCGGUGCACUUCGUCUGGUUGAGGCCAGCAUCGGUUUUCGUAGAGGGAUAAAAGCAGUAGGAAUGUGGUUCCUCCGGGAAUGUUAUAGCCUAUUGUAUAAUACCUUUAUGGGGACCGAGGUUCGCGCUCUGCAAGGAUGCUGGCGUAAUGGUCAUCAACGACCCGUCUUGAAACACGGACCAAGGAGUCGAACAUUUGUGCGAGUGUUUGGGUGUUAAACCCUCACGCGUAAUGAAAGUGAACGGAGGUGAGAGCCCUUACGGGUGCAUCAUCGACCGAUCCUGAUGUUUUCGGAUGGAUUUGAGUAAGAGCAUAACUGUUCGGACCCGAAAGAUGGUGAACUAUGCGUGGAUAGGGUGAAGCCAGAGGAAACUCUGGUGGAGGCUCGCAGCGGUUCUGACGUGCAAAUCGAUCGUCAAAUCUGCGCAUGGGGCGAAAGACUAAUCGA